AGCGAACGUUAGCGGCGCGCCUAACACAUGCAAGUCGCACGAGAAACGGAGCAAUCCGCGGUACAGUGGCGCACGGGUGAGUAACACGUGGAUGACCUUCCCUGGAGUGGUGGAUAACCUGCCGAAAGGCGGGCUAAUACAGCAUGGGACCACGACGCUUUGGCGAUGUGGUGAAAGCGGGCCUCUAUAUAUAAGCUCGCGCUCCGGGACGGGUCCGCGUCCCAUCAGCUAGUUGGUGAGGUAACGGCUCACCAAGGCAACGACGGGUAGCUGGUCUGAGAGGAUGGCCAGCCACACUGGAACUGAGACACGGUCCAGACUCCUACGGGAGGCAGCAGUGGGGAAUCUUGCGCAAUGGGCGAAAGCCUGACGCAGCGACGCCGCGUGGGCGAAGAAGGCC
This 400-nucleotide ribosomal RNA is filed under the name uncultured bacterium. Its description in RNAcentral is "bacterial SSU rRNA". It matches the Rfam family "Bacterial small subunit ribosomal RNA", at positions 30 to 416 of the family's 1533-position model. The record is from RNAcentral.